Molecule: ribosomal RNA, 481 nt
Filed under: uncultured bacterium
Lineage: Bacteria
Description: partial 16S ribosomal RNA
Rfam family: Bacterial small subunit ribosomal RNA
Source: RNAcentral
UAGGGAAUCUUCCACAAUGGACGCAAGUCUGAUGGAGCAACGGCCGCGUGAGUGAAGAAGGUUUUCGGACCGUAAAGCUCUGUUGUUGGUGAAGAAGGAUAGAGGUAGUAACUGGCCUUUAUUUGACGGUAAUCAACCAGAAAGUCACGGCUAACUACGUGCCAGCAGCCGCGGUAAUCGUAGGUGGCAAGCGUUGUCCGGAUUUAUUGGGCGUAAAGCGAGCGCAGGCGGAAGAAUAAGUCUGAUGUGAAAGCCCUCGGCUUAACCGAGGAAUUGCAUCGGAAACUGUUUUUCUUGAGUGCAGAAGAGGAGAGUAGAACUCCAUGUGUAGCGGUGGAAUGCGUAGAUAUAUGGAAGAAUACCAGUGGCGAAGGCGGCUGUCUGGUCUGCAACUGACGCUGAGGCUCGAAAGCAUGGGUAGCGAACAGGAUUAGAUACCCUGGUAGUCCAUGCCGUAAACGAUGAGUGCUAAGUGUUGGGA